Molecule: ribosomal RNA, 91 nt
Filed under: Burkholderiales bacterium
Lineage: Bacteria; Pseudomonadati; Pseudomonadota; Betaproteobacteria; Burkholderiales
Description: partial 23S ribosomal RNA
Rfam family: Bacterial large subunit ribosomal RNA
Source: RNAcentral
ACCAGGACGUUGAUAGGUCAGGUGUGGAAGCGCAGUAAUGCGUUAAGCUAACUGAUACUAAUUGCUCGUGCGGCUUGACCCUAUAACUUUG